RNAcentral lists this ribosomal RNA (501 nucleotides) under uncultured bacterium. RNAcentral describes it as "bacterial SSU rRNA". It matches the Rfam family "Bacterial small subunit ribosomal RNA", at positions 43 to 524 of the family's 1533-position model. The record is from RNAcentral.
CAGGCCUAACACAUGCAAGUCGAACGGCAGCAUGAUAAAGAUUUCGGUCUUUAUUGAUGGCGAGUGGCGGACGGGUGAGUAAUAGGUAGGAAUCUGUCCUGGAGAGUGGGAUAACCUGCGGAGACGCGGGCUAAUACCGCAUAAUAUUGAGAAAUCAAAGGCAGGGGAUCUGUAAAAAGACCUUGCGCUCUAGGGUGAGCCUACGUCGGAUUAGCUAGUUGGUGGGGUAAAAGCCUACCAAGGCGACGAUCCGUAGCUGGUCCGAGAGGAUGACCAGCCACACUGGGACUGAGACACGGCCCAGACUCCUACGGGAGGCAGCAGUGGGGAAUCUUGGACAAUGGGGGCAACCCUGAUCCAGCGAUACCGCGUGUGUGAAGAAGGCCUUCGGGUUGUAAAGCACUUUAGUUGGGGAAGAAAGGUAUAAGGGGAAUAUCCUUAUGCUGUGACGUUACCCAAAGAAUAAGCACCGGCUAACUCUGUGCCAGCAGCCGCGGUAAU